ACAUUGCUCAGCCACCACUGAGCUUCUUCUCAGUUUUGCCGAUGCCACAGGUACCAGAGCUUUCCAAGCCUCCCUGAGGGACACAGACAACUGGUGGUUUUCUGGUCGUGCACAGUACUCCCUUUUCAGCACGCUGCUCCUCUGAGCCUCCUGACUCCUUCCUUCUUCCACAGGUCCUGACCUCAGUACAGAGGACUUGUCCAUCCUUCAUGGAAGGUCUGCCCUGCCACCAUGAGGUCUGCGCAGGCCUGUGGAGAUGGAUGUCCCUCCUGUGCUGCUAGGAGGCUUUCUGGUCAACCUGCACUUCAGGACUCUCCACACCUUGAUAUAUACUUCUGCAAAAUACACUGGACGCCUUAAGACGCUGAGACCCGGCGACCUAGGCCCAUAAAUCCAUCACGAGGAACAGUCAGAGAUGGAAUCAGAGAUCCAAGUGAGGGGUCAGCGGUGACAUUUAUAAUGGCCAGACAUACAUGGCAGCCAUCUAUGUGCCUAGCAAUGGGACGUGCGGGGUCAGAAGUAGGACAACCCUUGGUGGAAAGUGGUACAGCCACAGACAAGGAGACAGUCAGCAGCCAGAGAAAGAGUUCUGCCGCCGUUAAUGGUCUCAUCGGCCGUGCUCUCCUCGUCUUCACGGUCGCGUCGCCGUCACCGUCCUUACCACGACCGCCGGCAUCUGCAGCGCCAUCGUCGUCACCGGCGCCCUCUCCACCAGCGCCUUCAUCAUCCUCAUCCUCAUGGUCACGCAUCGCCACGGCCAUUUAUUGAACGUCUGGGUGCCAGACCCCGCACUGGGCCCUCCGCACAGUCUAGCGGACCAUCCGCAUGAUCGAAAGUCAGCUCGGCUGUCUCUCUGAGCCUCGUGGGUUUGGGGAUGAGCAUUCAUUCCGUUCCUUCUGUGAUUCCACCCGGGACUGGCCACUUCCCGUGCUUUCCUCCUGGACUUCUGUGACCCUGCCUUCUCUGUGUCUUUGCAUUUCCACCCAGCAG
Molecule: long non-coding RNA, 990 nt
Organism: Fukomys damarensis (Damara mole-rat)
Lineage: Eukaryota; Metazoa; Chordata; Mammalia; Rodentia; Bathyergidae
Exons: 5
Source: RefSeq, a predicted model, not a curated record